Molecule: ribosomal RNA, 498 nt
Filed under: uncultured bacterium
Lineage: Bacteria
Description: partial 16S ribosomal RNA
Rfam family: Bacterial small subunit ribosomal RNA
Source: RNAcentral
AUUGAACGCUGGCGGCAUGCCUUACACAUGCAAGUCGAACGGUAACGCGGGGCAACCUGGCGACGAGUGGCGAACGGGUGAGUAACGCAUCGGAACGUGCCCAGUAGUGGGGGAUAGCCCGGCGAAAGCCGGAUUAAUACCGCAUACGACCUACGGGUGAAAGGGGGGGAUCGCAAGACCUCUCGCUAUUGGAGCGGCCGAUGUCAGAUUAGGUAGUUGGUGGGGUAAAGGCCUACCAAGCCGACGAUCUGUAGCUGGUCUGAGAGGACGACCAGCCACACUGGGACUGGGACACGGCCCAGACUCCUACGGGAGGCAGCAGUGGGGAAUUUUGGACAAUGGGCGAAAGCCUGAUCCAGCCAUGCCGCGUGCGGGAAGAAGGCCUUCGGGUUGUAAACCGCUUUUGUCAGGGAAGAAAUCUUCUGGGUUAAUACCUCGGGAGGAUGACGGUACCUGAAGAAUAAGCACCGGCUAACUAUGUGCCAGCCGCCGCCGUAA